This 75-nucleotide microRNA precursor is filed under the name Canis lupus familiaris (dog). RNAcentral's name for it is "mir-8799 microRNA precursor family". It matches the Rfam family "mir-8799 microRNA precursor family". Lineage: Eukaryota; Metazoa; Chordata; Mammalia; Carnivora; Canidae. The record is from Rfam by way of RNAcentral.
GGGGGGACGCCGGAUCUUGGGCUGUGUCCCGGCGCCUGAGCUGUUGGAUUCACGCUCCCGGCCUCGCAGCCCCCU